GAGUUUGAUCCUGGCUCAGAUUGAACGCUGGCGGCAGGCUUAACACAUGCAAGUCGAGCGGGGAAAUGUAGCUUGCUACAUUACCUAGCGGCGGACGGGUGAGUAAUGCUUAGGAAUCUGCCUAUUAGUGGGGGACAACAUCUCGAAAGGGAUGCUAAUACCGCAUACGUCCUACGGGAGAAAGCAGGGGAUCUUCGGACCUUGCGCUAAUAGAUGAGCCUAAGUCGGAUUAGCUAGUUGGUGGGGUAAAGGCCUACCAAGGCGACGAUCUGUAGCGGGUCUGAGAGGAUGAUCCGCCACACUGGGACUGAGACACGGCCCAGACUCCUACGGGAGGCAGCAGA
RNAcentral lists this ribosomal RNA (344 nucleotides) under uncultured Acinetobacter sp. Its description in RNAcentral is "bacterial SSU rRNA". It matches the Rfam family "Bacterial small subunit ribosomal RNA", at positions 9 to 355 of the family's 1533-position model. Lineage: Bacteria; Pseudomonadati; Pseudomonadota; Gammaproteobacteria; Moraxellales; Moraxellaceae. The record is from RNAcentral.